This 497-nucleotide ribosomal RNA is filed under the name uncultured bacterium. RNAcentral describes it as "partial 16S ribosomal RNA". It matches the Rfam family "Bacterial small subunit ribosomal RNA", at positions 28 to 507 of the family's 1533-position model. The record is from RNAcentral.
GAUGAACGCUGGCGGCGUGCCUAAUACAUGCAAGUCGAGCGAACAGACGAGGAGCUUGCUCCUCUGACGUUAGCGGCGGACGGGUGAGUAACACGUGGAUAACCUACCUAUAAGACUGGGAUAACUUCGGGAAACCGGAGCUAAUACCGGAUAAUAUAUUGAACCGCAUGGUUCAAUAGUGAAAGACGGUUUUGCUGUCACUUAUAGAUGGAUCCGCGCCGCAUUAGCUAGUUGGUAAGGUAACGGCUUACCAAGGCGACGAUGCGUAGCCGACCUGAGAGGGUGAUCGGCCACACUGGAACUGAGACACGGUCGAGACUCCUACGGGAGGCAGCAGUAGGGAAUCUUCCGCAAUGGGCGAGAGCCUGACGGAGCAACGCCGCGUGAGUGAUGAAGGUCUUCGGAUCGUAAAACUCUGUUAUUAGGGAAGAACAAAUGUGUAAGUAACUAUGCACGUCUUGACGGUACCUAAUCAGAAAGCCACGGCUAACUACGUG